UACGUAGGGGGCAAGCGUUGUCCGGAAUCAUUGGGCGUAAAGAGCGUGUAGGCGGCCCGAUAAGUCCGCUGUGAAAGUCCAGGGCUCAACCCUGGGAUGCCGGUGGAUACUGUCGGGCUCGAGUCCGGAAGAGGCGAGUGGAAUUCCUGGUGUAGCGGUGAAAUGCGCAGAUAUCAGGAGGAACACCAAUGGCGAAGGCAGCUCGCUGGGACGUGACUGACGCUGAGACGCGAAAGCGUGGGGAGCAAACAGG
Molecule: ribosomal RNA, 253 nt
Filed under: uncultured bacterium
Lineage: Bacteria
Description: partial 16S ribosomal RNA
Rfam family: Bacterial small subunit ribosomal RNA
Source: RNAcentral